CAAUAGCGUAUAUUGAAGUUGUUGCGGUUAAAAAGCUCGUCGUUGGAUUUCUGUUGAGGUCGAACAGUGCCGCCCUAUGGGUGCGCAACUGUCUCGGCUUCGGCAUCUUCUUGGAGAGCGCAUCUGCACUUAACUGUGUGGAUCGUACUUCAAGUCAGUUACUUUGAGGAAUUGUGAGUGUUUCAAGCAGGCUUACGCCGUUGAAUCCGUUAGCAUGGAAUAAUAGGAUAGGACCUCGGUUCUAUUUUGUUGGUUUUGAGAGCUGGGGCAGCGAUUGAUAGGGACGGAUGGGGGCGUCCGAACUUUACUGUCAGAGGUGAAAUUCUUAGAUCGGUCAAAGGCGAACUACUGCGAACGCAUUCGCCAAGAAUGUUUUCUUUAA
This 382-nucleotide ribosomal RNA is filed under the name uncultured eukaryote. Its description in RNAcentral is "partial 18S ribosomal RNA". It matches the Rfam family "Eukaryotic small subunit ribosomal RNA", at positions 592 to 976 of the family's 1831-position model. The record is from RNAcentral.